This 253-nucleotide ribosomal RNA is filed under the name uncultured bacterium. RNAcentral's name for it is "partial 16S ribosomal RNA". It matches the Rfam family "Bacterial small subunit ribosomal RNA", at positions 524 to 776 of the family's 1533-position model. The record is from RNAcentral.
UACGAAGGGGGCUAGCGUUGUUCGGAAUCACUGGGCGUAAAGCGCACGUAGGCGGAUCUUUAAGUCAGGGGUGAAAUCCCGAGGCUCAACCUCGGAACUGCCUUUGAUACUGGGGAUCUCGAGUCCGGGAGAGGUGAGUGGAACUGCGAGUGUAGAGGUGAAAUUCGUAGAUAUUCGCAAGAACACCAGUGGCGAAGGCGGCGACCUGGUCCGAUACUGACGCUGAGGCGCGAAAGCGUGGGGAGCAAACAGG